GUCGACCAAUUGGUUUCAAGCCUUUAGGGAAUAUACAUAGGAAUUUUAUCGUCUCAACAUUUCCAGUAUCGAGUUAACCUCCGAUUCGAUUUGUACUCGUUUCUACUCGUCGUUUAGCUUUUGUUCCAUCUUCGCAAGAAACAUUUUUCUUCUUUUUUCCUUUUUCUAUCGAAUCGUUCGUUGAAACAAUUUCGAUUACUCCAUUUACUAAAUUCUACGCUUAUUUUCCUUUAUAACAUGCUUCUUAUACAUAUAUUCGAUCGAUCUUGAAAACGUUAAACUAUCCAUUCGUUAGGAUACAGAUCAAAAUAUGGCUGACGGAUGAAAGAGUAGACAGAAUCGAUCCCAAUAAGUGUUCCAAUGAGGAACAAGUCUUCCAAGUAGAUGCUACUCGUCAUCAGAUUCGUUAACAUUUUAUCGUUCAAUUCGUCAUAAUUACGUCGAUAUGCCAAAUAAAUACGAGCUAUAUGGAAAUGUAAAGAGGAUAAGCGUUCAAUAAAGAGGAUUCCACCGUUGCAAGUUGUCUUCAUUUUAUAUAGAGAUCGUUCAAAGCUUUUAUUCCUUUCUGCCGUAUGCAUGUUGUGGAUGGUAAACGACUAUAAGAAUAUGAGAGAUAUAAAUAACGACGUAAUAAGAGGAAAAAAGGUAUAAAGAGGAAGCAAAAAAAAAGCAUUCAGGCUGAGCACCCUUUGGAUAUGGUACAUUUUACACAAAUGAGGAACGAGAAAACUGUGCGAACGGACAACAGGAGAGAAAUUUCAAAUAAAGUUCGUUGUCUGUGUGUGUGCAUAUAUAUACAUAUGUCUAAUAUAUUCGUGCCGCAAUUCUUAUAGUCUCUCUCUCUCUCUCUCUCUCUCUAUCCGUCUAUAUAAGUACGAGUACACGAAUACAUAUAUCCAUAUAUCUAUAUAUACACAUACAUUGACAUGCAUAUAUGUAUAUAUACACACACGAUGUAAACGUACGUACUUAUCGCUUAUACGCUUCUUUUUGAUAUUAUUUUUCUUAUUCGCGAAAGCGCGUUUAUUAUUUUCUUUGUUAUUACAGAAAUUCGCAUCGGGCAGGGUAAAUGUAGGUGUAUGCCGUUACGAGAAAGCCGUUUCUCGCGAUCGAGCUAAUAGAACGAAAGAAUAUAAUCGAGGGAGGUACGUAUGUACGAAGAAACUACAGAUUUUCUCAUCUCCUUUGAGAUUCCACUGUCGUAAUUAUCCUCGCGGAUCGUCGUCGUUGUUGCCGUCGUCGACGACAUACACCUUCUUCUACCAUGCUCUCGCGAGGAUCGAUGGCACCUCUGGUGGUAUAUCCUUAAAAAAGUCUCUAAUAGAAGCACAACGAACAUUCGUCCUGUGUAGUUUCUUUUUCUCUUUCCCUCCCGAUGAAAGGACGUUCUAAGGACGACGAAGGGGGGAGCUCGCGGCGACUCGGCUAAUGGAACGCGUGCGAGACAUCUCGAUAUUUUCUCUUCUUCGUUUCGUUUCGUUUCGUUUCGUUUCGUUUCGUUUCGUUUCGUUUCGUUUCGUUUUUCCUUCUUUUAAGCUUACAAAGAUAAUAGCUCUGUUUUCUUUUUGUUCUUUUUUUGCAUCUUUUUCUUUUUUUUUCUUCUCAAUAUCACUAAGUAAAUAGAAGUGGAAACGAUAACGACGGAGGAUACGGUUGGAAAAAGAGAGAACACGCAGCGUGGCGCACAAGUAACGACGAUACACCGCCGAUAUACCUUUCAUUUUACGAUCGAGGAGGAAUUUAAAUACGAACAAUCACGGCGCUUCGAGCGGAACUCUAAACGGAAAGUGGAAAUGAAAGAAAAGAACGAGUUGGUCCUACCAAAAAAAUAUAUAUAGAGCUUCGAGGAGAAAGCUACGAGAAAAUCGUCAUACCGUUAUAAAUCUUUCGACGAGAUAUGAGAAGAAGAAGAAUGUGCUUACGUGCCACUUUUCGCUGAAGGUUAAAUCGACGGUGAAUUCUAGAGAGAAAGAGAGAGAGAGAGAGAGAGAAAGAGAAUCGACCUUUCGCAAGCCGAGAAGCAUCCGACGAAUCAUUUAUGAAUCACGUACUUACAAGACUCGAUAGGAGGCUUCGUACGAUUCGAACAACUCUAUCUUUCUCUCCAACUUUCUUACACUUUUUCUUUUACAACACACGCGAACGAUAUACUCGAUCACUUUUCAUCUUCCAAAGAAGAAGAAGAAGAAAAAGAAGAAGAAGAAGAAGAAGAAGAAGAAGAAGAAGGAACCACUUCGAGAGAUACGUUCGAAAAUCUUUCAGGAAUCAAAAAAUAUCAAGAGUGGGCAAAAUAAAAAAGUUUAACUUUACUUUGUUUCCUUUUUCCAACUUUCAGCAACAUACAUACAUACGUAGAGAGGAGCGCGAUAAGCUCGUUCGAAUUUCUCGUAUGGACAAAGUUAGCAUUUUCUCCGUAAAAAGCUUCCUCCUAAGGAAAGCAUUCGAGAGAGCUUCCAAGGAACAUUGUUUCGGAAAACGGAGUUAUAAGAGAGACAACGAUAAUACCGUUGAAAGACAAUGGAAGACGUUGAUGGACUAGGACACUGCUAACCUCUUAUACGAUAGUCAGCAAGCUAGCUGAAUGUACCAUGAAUAUUUCAAGUUCGCUGCAGUAACGCAGAAGGAAGAAAGCCAUUGUGGAACGAUUUAACGGACAAAUUGGACUAAAGACCAUCAUUCGACGUUGCUUCUUGAUGAGCCUGCUAAGCCGUUGAGUCCUUUGGGCGCAUGUAAGCGUUUUUCCGUUCAAUUGAAAAUCGUCUACAAGUUCAUCCUCGAGGUCGUUUGCAUCCUUCUCGAUCCGAGGACUAUGCCUGAGCGUAACCGUGCUAAGCGGUACCGCUUUGGCGACGAGACUCUCGCUUCUAACGCUCCAAUUGGAACCACCGUACUUCUUCAGAUUCAUCAGAUCACCUAUGCUACCUCUGACCUGACUGGUACACAGCUGAAGAUUCGUUCUCGAGAGAGCCGGGGAGUGAGGAAGAGACUCGGAACACUUUUCGAUCGAUCUAACGACGUCCGGUAAGAUCGACUUGUUCUGAAGUUUGUCCAAAUCUGAGAGGGACGAUCCACGACGAAUCCUGGCUCUGGGCAAAGUCGCUUUUUCUUUUGCAAUUUUUUCUUUCUCACGAUUCACGCUCUUGGAGGAUAAGGAAGACUUCAUGGCGAAUAGACCCGCCUUCAAUGGAAAGAGCAAUGCCCACUCGGUCGACUUUUCGCGAGUCUCCAUUUUCACCGACCUUUUUUACCUUUCUUCUUCUCAAUAAGAAGAGUUCCGUGUCUUCGUAUAACUUCGAGAAAUAUUAUAAUUCUGCUCGAGACUCGAAAACAGGAAAGAGAACUCUCGUUUAAGCGUUAAAUUGGAACGAUAACGCGCCAUCCGGUUUGCGGACCUUCCGCUCGGUCGUUAUCGUGCUCCCAAUGAAGAAACCGGAAGAACUUACUUCGGUUGUAUAAUAAAAAACAAACGACUAGAAAUUCAACCAAAGAGAUUCUUUUUGAUAACAGCAGCUCAAAGUCUUUGCCUCUUUCGAUUCGACGAAGCUCUCUUUUCAAGAAAACGUUCUCU
Vespa mandarinia (Asian giant hornet) is the source of this 3568-nucleotide long non-coding RNA. The record is from RefSeq and is a predicted model, not a curated record. NCBI's taxonomy places the organism in Eukaryota, Metazoa, Arthropoda, Insecta, Hymenoptera, Vespidae.